RNAcentral lists this small RNA (77 nucleotides) under Xanthomonas oryzae pv. oryzae. RNAcentral's name for it is "sX9". It matches the Rfam family "Xanthomonas sRNA sX9". The record is from RNAcentral. Lineage: Bacteria; Pseudomonadati; Pseudomonadota; Gammaproteobacteria; Lysobacterales; Lysobacteraceae.
AUGUACCACGCGUCCACUGCGGUUCUGAGCGCGCCGUCCGCGCCCACCUGACCGCCGCCCGCCCCGGUUUGUCAGCC